This 6123-nucleotide long non-coding RNA is filed under the name Sus scrofa (pig). RNAcentral describes it as "lncRNA (ENSSSCG00060035737.1)". The record is from RNAcentral. Lineage: Eukaryota; Metazoa; Chordata; Mammalia; Artiodactyla; Suidae.
UUUUUUUUUUUUUUUUUUUUUUUUUUUUUGCUUUUUAGGGCUGCACUUGUGGCAUAUGCAAGUUCCCUGGCUAGGGGGUGAAUCACCAUGGCAAUGUGGCAUCCAAGCCAUGUCUGCGACCUACACCACAGCUCACAGCAAUGCUGGAUCCCCGACCCAAUGAGCGAGGCCAGGGAUCGAACCUACAUCCUUGUGGAUAAUAGUUGGAUUUGUUUCCACUGUGCCACAACAGGAACUCCUAUGUAAAUUCUUUUAGACAGUUAUAGGAGAGGUCAAAGUUCCUUCCUGAGCUUUGAUUUGUUUUCAGCUUCAAAUAAUCCUCAUGCCAAGGAGACACUUGGGGAUGGCAAGUUUUGCUCCCCUACAGGUACGUACAAAAAAAAUCUUAUUAGGUAAUUGCUAUUUAUACUCUCAGUUUACAGCCGAGAAGUUUGGAAAAAAAGAGCUUCCCCAAUAUACACAGGUAAUGUGAGUGGCAAAGCCAAGAUUCACACUCCAGUGACGUGACUCCAGAGCCUUCUCUUAACUACUGUCCUACAUAGGCCUAGUCAGGUCUUUAGUCUAGUGGCUAGAUUGAACUUGCAUUAUGACAUUUUAAUGUAUCAGUUAGGGUUCUCCCAAGACCCAGAAGCAACAGACACAGAACUAUAAAGAGAUUUAUUAUGAGUGCUUGGCUCAUGCAAAUGAUGGAGACGGAGAAGUCCCAAGAUAGGCCUGCCAACUGCAGGCUGGAGGCUCAGGAAGCCAGUGGAGUAUGCAGUUCCAGUCCAAACCUGACAGCCUGAGAACCAGGGCAGCCAAUGGUGUGAGUACCAGUCUGAGUCUGAAGACCUGAGAACCAAAAGCACCAGUGUCUAAGGACAAAAAGAUGGAUGUUCCAGCUACGGCAGAGAGCAAAUUGCCCUUCCUCUGCCUCUUUGUUCUACUCGGACACUUAAUAAAUUGGAUGAUAUCCACCUUCAUUGUGGAAGGGCCAUCUUCUUCACUCAAUCCACUGAUUCAAAUGCUAAUCUCUUCCUGAGAAACCCUAACAGAUGCAUCUAUAAAUAAUGUUUUUUGUUUGCUUUUCAGGGCCACACCUGCAGCAUGUGGAAGUUCCCAGGCUAGGGGUCGAACUGUAGCUACAGCUUCUGGCUUAAACCACAGCCACAGCAACACAGGAUAUGAGCCCUGUCUGUGACCUACACCAUAGCUCAUGGCAACUCUGGAUCCUUGACCCACUGAGUAAGGCCAGAGAUCGUACCCACAUCCUCCUGGAUCCUAGUUGGGUUCAUUAACUGCUGAGCCAUGAAGGGAACUACCUAUAAAUAAUGUUUACCAGCUGGCUGGGCUGAUACCUCAGGGCAGUCAAGCUGAUACAUAAAAUUACCCAUCACAGCCAGGACUCUCAAAGUUCUUUGUAUGUAGAAGUCCACCUUCUGAGUCAAUAAGAAGACCCAUUUUUACAUCGGGAAAUUUGUGAGGGUGCAGUAGAAAAGGUGGUAAAAUAGAAAUAAGACCAAGGGAUUCUGUGUUCUAAUAUUUUGAAGGAGAAUAUCAGAAGACAGUACAAUAUAUGCUGACACAUAUGUGAGGCACUUUGGAAGCUCUUUAUAAGGAAGAGACCAUCGCCUACCUUUGAGCACAGCUGUUAGAGUGCAGUAAAGAGUGCUUCUCUGAGAUGAGGCCAGACAUUGAGCCUUAACAAAACAAGGCUCCCAAGUCUAUCUACUUGGUAAUAAAUGGAGUAGGAAUAUGACAACCUACCAAUUUACUUUCUGGCAGUAAGUGUAGCCUGGGGUUGUAUUUGACAUUGGAAGUCCAAACCUUGGCAGGAACUUCUACAGUGCAGGAAUUUAGGGACAUGGGCAGGGGGUGAAAGGACAGGGAGCAUGUGAAAUUUCUUGGCCAUAAACAGGAACCUCUUGUGGUAUGGGAAUUGAAUCUUUUCUCCCUAUUAGAAUAGUUCUCAGGGGGCUUGCUUGAGUUAAAAGUAAAAUGAAUUCCUCACCCUGGAGACUAAAAUGUCCUUUAUAAUUCCUGGCUUUAGCUUGGAAUAACUAAUAAGGUUUGUUAUUAAUGUUCCUCUUUGCCUUACAAUAACUUCAACUGGCAGAAAUAGGAUGUUAGCUCCCCUAUUGAGGAGGCUUGGGGAAUGAAGGACAGGGAUCAAAGUGUGGGAAAGGCCUCGUCCCUCCCCCUGGACCAAGGUUGUCAUUUAAUUUCCAUCAGUGUUAUGGCUUUAGAGGAGGGUAUAGAAUCAAGAAAAAAGAAUGAGGAAGCUGGCAUUUGCAAAAUGACUUCCAGACCUAUUAAAACAUCAAAGCCAAAAUAUCCCCCCAGGAAUGAACUUCAGAUGACCAUUUAAGAGAAGAUAUACCAAAGAAUGUUUUAUUUCAUAUUCACGAAACCUAAGCUUCCCAUCUCCACAGUAUUCUAUGUUUUUAUGUGUUUUAACAGCUUUUAAUGUUUUCAAAUAAAAAGAGCAAAAACACGAGCAUGUGGCCUGCCUAUCUAUCUAUCUAAUAUAUAAAUACUGAAACACAAUUCUUAGUCAUUCAGUAUCACUCCAGUCUUGGAAUGCCUGUCGUGGCUCAGUGGUAAAGAACCUAACUCAUAUACAUGAGGGGGUGGGUUCCAUCCCUGGCCUCGCUCAGUGGGUAAAGGAUUCAUCACUGCUGUGAGCUGUGGUGCAGGUCACAGACACAGUUCAGAUCCCAAGUUGCUGUGACUGUGGCAUAGGCCAGUAGCUAGUUCCAAUUUGACCCCAAGACUAGGAACUUCCAUACGCCACAGGUGCGGCCCUAAAAAGAAAAAAAGAAAAACAACAACAACAACAAAAAAAAACCCCAAAACUCAUUCCAGUCUUAUCCAGCACAGACUGGAUGAAAGUUGAAAUUGUCAUCCUAGUUAAAAUAGAGAGACUGCUUUUACUGGAUUGCUCUUUACAGAGAUUUUUUAUUGUCGCAAAAAUGUUUCCAACCACUGGAACACAAAAAGGUACACAGAUACGUAAAGCUAUGAAAGGAGCUAUGAACCUAGAGUUAAGAGGAAAUCUUUUUGUAGAAAAACACACACCCCUCUUUAAAGCUAUUGCUCUGCAUGAAUCUCUUAUGUAUAGAAAGAGUACAAUGAUGCGAUUAAGAAUCAAGCCUCUGGUUACCAAGGGGGAUGGGUGGGCAGAAGGAAGGACUGGGAGCUUGGGAUGGCAUAUACACACUGUGGUAUACAGAAUGGAUGGUCAACAAGGACCUGCUGUACAGCACAGGGAAAUCUACUCAAUAUGCUAUGAUAACCUGUAUGGGAAUGGAUAUGAGUAUCUGUAUAACUGAAUCACUUUGCUGUACAGCAGAAAUUAACACAACAUUGUAAAUCAACUAUAAAGUUUUAAAAAAUAAAAAAAAAAUUAAAGGAAUUUGUUAACAUGGCUCAGCAGUUAACAAACCUGACUAGGAUCCAUGAGGGUGUAGGUUCGAUCCCUGGCCUUGCUUAGUGGGUUAAAGAUCCAGCAUUGCUGUGAGCUGUGGUGUAGGUUGCAGACGCAGCUCAGAUCUGACAUUGCUGUGGCUGCAGCAUAGGCCGGCAGCUACAUCUAUGAUUCAACCCCUAGCCUGGGAACCUCCAUAUGCCAUGGGAAUGGCCCAAGAAAAGGCAAAAAAAGAUAAACACACACACAUGCACAAAAGUCUAAUUUUAGUCAACAUUUUAAUGCAUAGUAAGGUUGAUAGGAUAUGCGAUUUUGAGUUCUUGAUAAACUGAUUGAUGCUUUCCUGGAUUUUUCAUAUUAGAAAAGCCAGUUCUAUCAAACAUUUGAACUUUGGUGAGAGAUUUUUCUACCUGAAGCCUGCUGAUGCUUUCCCAGGGAUGGAGGAAUAAAUAUCCCUUCUCUGUCAAUAUCCCCUUGAGAGCAAGAACUGAGGGGCUUAAAUUGGCAGCCUCCAAAGAUCCAUUUGUGUCCUCUGUGGCUGGCAGUGGGCAGUGUGCAAAGAGGUUCCUUUUUCUAAGUCCUGUAGCAAUCAUAUGGCCAAAUUGUCAGGAAUACGCAUGAUAUAAUAUAUUUGGUGUUACUGUCCCCAGAUAGAUACACACUGGUCAGACAGUGUGUACUGGUGUUUCAUGUAGGAAAUAUGGUGACCAUAUGUUCGGAUUUCUAUGUUUUGCUAAUUCUAUUUCCUCCCCCCGCCCCUUUUGUUAGCAGUUUAUGGUUUCUGUUCACUGACAAAUUGCCAACUCAAUUUAUAAAACAGACUAAGUGUAAAGUAACCAUAGUGAGGAAACCAAAACAAAGAAAACUAGACCAAAGAAAUACUAUAUCAAAAUAUCUUCCAACACAGAGGUAUGAUUUGUCUUGGACUUUCAUGACAUGAGCUCCUAGAACACUCAAGGGGGGUGACAAUGACUCAGAGGUGACCAGACUGCAAAGUUCUGUGUUUUAUAUCUGUUUUGUGAGUGUGGGAGGAGACUUGUUCAAUUUGCAAACAAGGCAUUCUCAAACAAAACAGAAACUCCCAAAUCUGCCCUAGUAUGUAAGAGUCUAAACAGACUUUCAUGAAGCUGGUAAGCAAGUAUUUCUCCUUUCAACUCCCCUUUCCCCUCCUUCAACUCUCCAGAUACUCUCCCCAGAUUGCGUUCUGUUAAGUCUGGCAUCAGCUAGAGGUCCCCACUAAGGCCAGCUCACUGUCCUAAUUGAAGAUUACAGAUUUUCCAUUGAUGAUAAAGUUCUUGCCUAUUCUGACUCAUGAAAAUAUCAUUUAUUUACCUAAUCCCAUCCCCCUCAGUUGAGGAAAGACUUGAUCUUGCAGUAAAGACAUAGAGACAGAGUAAAAGAGAUAACCUAAGGAACUGCCUCCUUGCCUCUAGCCAACCCAUGAUAUCAACCUACCCAAAAAUGUGUACUUGAAAGAAGAUGGAAAAAAUGGGGAUACAGGUAUACUUGGCAUAGCGCAGGUAUACUUGGCAUAGCGCAGGAGAAGUAGCUGCUAGUCACUAGUAAUUCAUCAAUUCUCAGGGCAGAGAGGUGGAGAAGAAACUACCCUCUAUGCUUCCAGGCUGCUUUCUAUCUUUACUCUCUCUUCAGGUUCACAAGGUGCUUUGACAACUGGAUUGGCUUCCCAAGUGGCUUCAUGCUUGGGGAAGUGUCCUCAAUAGGGGACAGAAGCACUGAAAAGGGAUGUCACUUCUCCCAGGAUUAAUUUCUACUUCUAGUCUCUAUGACUGGCUGAUGGUGUUCUGGUUGAUGUCAGUCCAUCUCUGAGAGUCUCUUGAUCUCUAGUGGUACUGUUAAUGCCAACAUCCUGGAUCUUUAGGAAUGUAUAUCAGAUCUGACAUCAGUAUCUUCACCAAGGCUAAAGUACCCUAAAGAAGAGAAGCCCACUGAUGAAGAGCCAAUCAAUGACACACUUUGGCCUCACCAAACAUUUCCAUUUGAAGGUCAAUAAACUAUACUCAAUCAACUUUUUCUAAUAAUUUCUUUCCUAGGUUCACACUUCCUUCUUUAACCCUCUUUGCUACCUACCAUUCCCCUAACAUGCCAAGAAUAUUUAUAGCUCCAUCCUUUCCUCAAAUAGUUCUAUCUGUCUAAAAUUCUUUAUAACUGACUAUACCCAAAAAGAGAGGGGAAGAGACCUUCUGAGGAUAACUCUGAUGGUGCCUAACCUAGAUGGAUGGAAAGAAAGUGGUGCCAUUAAGGGAACUAAGAUACAGACAUAGGGUGAAGGGUUAAAUUUGGCAGGGAAGGGGACAGUGGAGUUAAUAAAUUUGGGGACCUGUUGCAUUGAAAGUCCCUAUAAAAUGUUGCAGAAGAGAGAGAAAUGUAGCAUGUAGUUCAGGCAGAGAUUUGGGAUGGCAAUAAAGACACAAGAAUCAUCAAAACAACAUGGUAAGAGAUGAAGAGAUUUCCAGAGGAAUGGUAGUAGAGUGGGUAAAUAAGAUGACUGAAGACAGUGCCUUGGUAAAUGUAUGAGAAUAGGGCACACAAAAAUAGUAAAUAGUAUUUAAAAAGCCACGAAAAAGGGAAGAAAGCAGGAAACUAGGAGAACCAGAAGACUGCCUGAUCAGAGCAUCCAAGAGAGGAUAGAAAGAUGAGGAUUACCAGGGCUGAGUAAUAUCAAGUUUCUAAAAAACAGAACCAAAAAAAAAAAAAAA